RNAcentral lists this transfer RNA (62 nucleotides) under Platorchestia japonica. RNAcentral's name for it is "tRNA-Pro". The record is from RNAcentral. Lineage: Eukaryota; Metazoa; Arthropoda; Malacostraca; Amphipoda; Talitridae.
CAAAAAGUAGUUUAUUUAAAAUUAUAAUUUUGGAUAUUAUAGAAAGAUUUGUCUCUUUUUGA